This 234-nucleotide unclassified non-coding RNA is filed under the name Hevea brasiliensis (rubber tree). Lineage: Eukaryota; Viridiplantae; Streptophyta; Magnoliopsida; Malpighiales; Euphorbiaceae. The record is from RNAcentral.
GCUCUACAGUUGAUUUGGAAAAUUGAAGUUUAAAACAUAAAUAAAAUCUUGUUCAUGGUAGCAUAAAUGUCAUUUAAAGAACGUACAGGAACAAGAAGCAAUUAAUGCAUGAAACCGCAUUUUUCUCUGCAAACCAUUCAGUAUUUUUUCAACCAUAAAGAAAAUCUUUGAAAUAAAGGUUAAGAAUGCUAUCAAAUAAUUAAAAAAAAAGUUUCAAUCAAUAUGAAAGCCAUA